This 224-nucleotide long non-coding RNA is filed under the name Elaeis guineensis (African oil palm). RNAcentral's name for it is "long non-coding RNA (EGUI_LNC050915)". The record is from RNAcentral. Lineage: Eukaryota; Viridiplantae; Streptophyta; Magnoliopsida; Arecales; Arecaceae.
GGGUAUAGUCAAAUACUUGUGAAGUCGGUGUGUGAGUCAAGAUGGGAUUGACCCCUCCGAAUUAAUAGGAGAUAUGCGUCAGUGUAUUUUAAUUUAGCAAAAUCUGAGCUCAGAUAAUCUAUGUGAUGGAUUGAAAAAAGAUUGAAAUACAAUGUGGAUAACUUAUCUAGGAUUGACAGUUAAAUCUUAGGUCAUCCUCGAGCAUGUGGAUCAAAGAGAUGAAU